GCUAGGCUGACACCACGGCACUCUAGCCCGGGUGGCAGAGUGAGACUCUGUCUCAAAAAAAAAAAAGAGAGAGAUAACUAAGACGUGGUUUGACCUCUGCCCCCUGCAGGGAGCUGACAGUCCACAAAGAAAGCCGAUCAGUGUGAUCAGUGCGCGGCGUAAGAAGAGUGGACGGGAUACAGCAAGAGGUGACAACGCAGAGGCGACAUUGAAAAAUUACAGCAAGAGGUGACAACGCAGACGGCGACGUUGAAAAUUACUGACUAGACUGCAUGCAUGGAAACGGUCGACCGAUUGAGGUGGGAGGUGGAGGAAGUGGAGGCUAUGAAAAUUACUUCCAGGUUUUUCGAAGCGAGCAAUAACUGACUAAGAUAGUGACUGCAAAAGAAAUAGUUUGCUGGUGAACAUGCUGAGAGUAGUUUUGGACACAAUUUAAUCUGGACACUUUAA
Microcebus murinus (gray mouse lemur) is the source of this 450-nucleotide non-coding RNA. The record is from RefSeq and is a predicted model, not a curated record. Lineage: Eukaryota; Metazoa; Chordata; Mammalia; Primates; Cheirogaleidae.